UAUUUGCCAGACUCUGCGAGUUCCUCAGGAAGAUCCUCUCCUGCCGAGCAUUAUUCCGUGCCAUCUCAUCCUCCUAAUGUAUGUGUUAACAAGGGUCCGUAUUCAACCGUUCGCGGAUGAAGUACUCCAGCGCUGCUGAUAUCUUCUCCAUGAAUUCCGUCCCCGGCAUCUUGACAACAGGAUUCUCAAGCUCGUACGUAUCUCGGGGCAUCACCUCUUUCCCCUGAGCUCUGAAUAUCUCCGUCAAGAGAAUCGCUUCAGCCUCCUGGUGCAUAUAUGCAUUGUGAAUUUUAUGAUAAACAGUUACCUUGUCGAGGGAAUGAAAUGAAAUAGACUUGAGGGCUCA
Long non-coding RNA from Aegilops tauschii subsp. strangulata, 346 nucleotides. RefSeq lists it as uncharacterized. The record is from RefSeq and is a predicted model, not a curated record. Lineage: Eukaryota; Viridiplantae; Streptophyta; Magnoliopsida; Poales; Poaceae.